AAAAUCCGUCGACUUUAGAAAUCGUGAGGGUUCAAGUUUCCCCA
Molecule: transfer RNA, 44 nt
Filed under: Linum arboreum
Lineage: Eukaryota; Viridiplantae; Streptophyta; Magnoliopsida; Malpighiales; Linaceae
Description: partial tRNA-Leu
Source: RNAcentral